Molecule: non-coding RNA, 58 nt
Organism: Aedes albopictus (Asian tiger mosquito)
Lineage: Eukaryota; Metazoa; Arthropoda; Insecta; Diptera; Culicidae
Source: Rfam
UAGCCUAGUGGUUAAGGCUAUGGAUCGCCAAUCCGGAGACGUCGGGUUCGAUUCCCGU